Molecule: ribosomal RNA, 138 nt
Filed under: Mytilus galloprovincialis (Mediterranean mussel)
Lineage: Eukaryota; Metazoa; Mollusca; Bivalvia; Mytilida; Mytilidae
Description: partial 16S ribosomal RNA
Source: RNAcentral
AGUUCAGUUUCUAUCCUCUUUUUGAAAUGAGCUAAUUUUGUACGAAAGGACUUUUUCGCUAAAGCAAUGCUUUGUCACAAAUCUGUGUUUGCAUGAAUAAUAGUGUAUAAUAGGUUGAUUAGCCUAUAGAAAGGGUGA